RNAcentral lists this unclassified non-coding RNA (250 nucleotides) under plant metagenome. Its description in RNAcentral is "partial contains small subunit ribosomal RNA, internal transcribed spacer 1, and 5.8S ribosomal RNA". The record is from RNAcentral.
GUAGGUGAACCUGCGGAAGGAUCAUUAUCGUGUUCUUUCACAUUUUUUGGUGUUUCGCAAGAAACAUUUUAAAUGUGAAAACAUAAUAUUCACCCCAAUGUGAACUUGUUCCCAAUUCUUACAACCUUUUGGUUAAGAGAAGAAGGUGGAGGGAGGCUUGAAUUUUUGUCUAGGCGUUGCUUUUGGUUCACCCCAAAAGCAAACUCUUCAUGUUUAAAUUUAAAUGAUUUAGAAGAGGAAGGCCGAAACU